GACGCGGGAUUUGCCUGACUGAGUGACAGCAGCCGCGGUAAUACGAGUGGUGCAAGCGUUAUUCGGAAUCACUGGGCGUAAAGGGUGUGUAGGCGGCAAAUCAAGUCUGUUGUAAAAUAUCCCAGCUUAACUGGGAGUGUGCGAUGGAAACUGGUUUGAUAGAGGGUGAAAGAGAGAAGUGGAAUUCUCGGAGUAGCGGNAAAAUGCGUAGAUAUCGAGAGGAACACCGAUGGNGAAGGCAGCUUCUUGGUUCACACCUGACGCUGAUACACGAAAGCGUGGGGAGCAAACAGGAUUAGAUACCCUGGUAGUCCACGCCGUAAUACGAUGAUCACUUGAUGUUGGUU
RNAcentral lists this ribosomal RNA (347 nucleotides) under unidentified eubacterium 85R6. RNAcentral's name for it is "bacterial SSU rRNA". It matches the Rfam family "Bacterial small subunit ribosomal RNA", at positions 484 to 828 of the family's 1533-position model. The record is from RNAcentral.